UUGUCUAUGCCAUUUUACCAAACACUAGUUGCAUGUUUAUAGAAUGAUUAUUUGAUUGAAUAUAUAAAUACAACUUUCAACAACGGAUCUCUUGGCUCUCGCAUCGAUGAAGAACGCAGCGAAAUGCGAUAAGUAAUGUGAAUUGCAGAAUUCAGUGAAUCAUCGAAUCUUUGAACGCACCUUGCGCUCCUUGGCAUUCCGAGGAGCAUGCCUGUUUGAGUGUCAUUAACACCUCAAGACCUGUCUGCUUUUGAUAGGUAUUGGAUUUUGGGAGUUGCAGGCUGUUUCAGAUAUAGCUUGCUCUCCUUGAAUGUAUUAGUGGAGAAAAGCUGUUGAACUCCAUUGGUGUGAUAAAAUCUAUCAAUGCCAGGAGCAACAUCAAGUGGUCUCUGCUGUCUAACCCUAACUGUCUGACUCACUUGACCUCAAAUCAGGUAGGACUACCCGCUGAACUUAAGCAUAUCAAUAAGCGGAGGAA
Molecule: ribosomal RNA, 478 nt
Filed under: Amanita pallidorosea
Lineage: Eukaryota; Fungi; Basidiomycota; Agaricomycetes; Agaricales; Amanitaceae
Description: eukaryotic LSU rRNA
Rfam family: 5.8S ribosomal RNA (bases 72-225)
Source: RNAcentral